GACGAACGCUGGCGGCGUGCUUAACACAUGCAAGUCGUACGGUAAGGCCCUUUCGGGGGUACACGAGUGGCGAACGGGUGAGUAACACGUGAGUAACCUGCCCACAACUUUGGGAUAACGCUAGGAAACUAGUGCUAAUACUGGAUAUGUGCUCCUGCUGCAUGGUGGGGGUUGGAAAGCUCCGGCGGUUGUGGAUGGACUCGCGGCCUAUCAGCUUGUUGGUGGGGUAGUGGCCUACCAAGGCGGCGACGGGUAGCCGGCCUGAGAGGGUGACCGGCCACAUUGGGACUGAGAUACGGCCCAGACUCCUACGGGAGGCAGCAGUGGGGAAUAUUGCACAAUGGGCGCAAGCCUGAUGCAGCAACGCCGCGUGCGGGAUGACGGCCUUCGGGUUGGAAACCGCUUUCAGCAGGGACGAAGCUUUUUGUGACGGUACCUGCAGAAGAAGCACCGGCUAACUACGUG
This 465-nucleotide ribosomal RNA is filed under the name uncultured bacterium. RNAcentral describes it as "partial 16S ribosomal RNA". It matches the Rfam family "Bacterial small subunit ribosomal RNA", at positions 28 to 507 of the family's 1533-position model. The record is from RNAcentral.